AACAGAUAAAGAGGAACACCACUUCUCCCUCCCCCUAUACCCCCCACCCCCCAGGCAGAACUGUCUAGAAAAUGGAGUUAGAUCUGACCAGAGUUGAAGGACAUCUGCAUUGAAGAGCUAAACAAAGGGAAAAUAUAGAUGCCAUCGAAACCCAUCAUUACGUUUGUGAUCUAGAUAAUAAAGUCUGAGAAGUCAAAUGCUUAGGGAAAAUGCCUACAUUGCACUUCUGAAAUUUCAGAAUGUGGCAUGACUGCUGCCUGUACGUGUGAAAAGUCAGGAUGAGAGUUCACAGCAGGUUGAUGGCCUGGAGAUGAAAAGUCUGUCUGAGGACAUUUCAAAGUUGUAAAGGUAUUAUUCUCACAUGGAGUUAUUUCUCAGUGGGUGUGAACAACAGCUCCUCAUCAAGCUGGUGUAGUGCGAAAUAGAGUUUCCUGAGAAAUGAUGUGCAGACAUAUGCAAGAAGCCACAUGCAUGGGACAUGCACAGACUGUGAGCCUCGCAUCCAAGUGCUGGAACAGUUGCCAUGAAUGCAGAAGCCUACAUUGCCAGUGACCAGUGGGAGAACUGGAAUAAAAAGAGGAGUUUGGACCACCCCCAUGACUAUUGGGGUUCAGUGUGUGUGUGAUGACUUUAGGGUCCCUCAAAUGGUAUGAAGUGGGUGUAUUGGCAAUUGACACCUUUCAUGUAGUGGGUAAGAUAUGAUUUGGGGGUCAUUCUUCACCAUAACGGGGCAAUAAAAUGAUAGAAUUAGAGAUCUCAGAGCUCACAGACAUCUCUAGGGACCACCUGGUUUACUUCUUCAACAAGCAACUAAGGGGCUCAUUGGAUAUAGGGCUGGGCCUGAAUCAUGAAGACCUAAGUUGAAAUGUGGCCUCUGACCCUUAUUUAGCUGUGUGACCCUGGGCAAGUUACUUAACCUCUGCCUCAGUUUCUCUAUCUAUAAGAUGGGGAUAAUAAUAGCACUUAUCUCCCAGGAUUGUUUUGAGGAUCAAAUGAGAUGAUGUUUGUAAAAUGGUUAUGCCUGGCAGAUAGUAGAUGCACAAUAAAUAUUUCAGGCAAAUACAAGAUUAUCUUUAUUUUACAGAUGGGGUAACUGAGGUUCACAGUAGUUACAGACCUUUCUUAAAGUCACAUAAUAAAGACCUGCCUUGAUUAUAGCUUCUGACCAUCACAUUCUAUUUUCAGAUUCAUCCCCUCAUACCUUCUUUAUCAACAUAAAAAGGUUAUGGCCCAUGAGCAAAGAUGCUUAUGCUGCUCAUUUUCUUAGGAAGUGUCUGUUAUAAGAGUUUCAAAGAGUUUUCCCUUUAGCCAAGAUGUUAUUAUUUCUGCAGUAAACUCCUUUGAACUCUUCCUCCAAAAGGCUUGAGUGCUGAACAGAGUUCUUUCACAUUAAUAAUAUUCCGCCAUGAUUUGUUUUUCACCACACCUUUCUGAUGGUUGGAAAAUGAGCGAGUGAACAAGAGAAAAAUAAAAAAGCAGAUAUGCAAGUAAGUGGUGGAGCAAGGAUACAGGAGAGAAAAUUAGUAUGGGGAUGGUUAAGGAACCGGCAAAGAAGCAUGGCACAGUGGAAUGUGUCCCAGCUCUGAAGUCAGAGGACAAGGUCCAAAUGCCACUGCUGACUUUACUACCUGUGUCAUGUAAGAUAGUUUACAGCUUCUCUCAGCCUCAGUACAAUGAGGGUAUUGAUCUAGAUGGCCCCCAAGAACCCUUUCCACUCUAGAUCUAUUAUCCUAUGACAAGUGGGAAAUUUCCUAGUCCUACUUGGCUCUACCCAGUGGUAGAACCUUGAUGACUGCUGUGGUAGGAGCAAAUCUUGGAGAUGAAAAGGGGAGUCAGGAUUCUUUUUAACUAUACUUGAGGGUCCAGAGGCAAAGACUGACCAGUAUGCAAAGCCUUGGGAUAAAAUAGGCAGAGAUCAGCUUACUUUUGGGGAGUGGUGUGGUGGGGUAGGGAGAAAGAGUGGGAGAAGGAGAGGCAGAGAGAGAAAGAGACAGAGACAGAAAGGGACACAACGAUAGACAGAAACAGAAAGAUAUACACAGAGACAGAAACAGAGAUGGAGACAUAGAGAGAUAGACAGAUGCAUGCAUACACAUACACAUAGAGAGAGGGAGAGAGACAAAAAGAUAGAAACAGACAGAUACACACACACAGAUUGACAGAGAGAGGGAGAGAGAUUGGCAUCUAUUGUAUCCAAAUAUGUUCUUAUUAACUGAGGAUAUGUGAACACAUUAAAAAUAUAUAUGUAAAUAUAUAUAUAAAACUAAUUAUCAAACAACAAUAUCAUUAAUUUCCUUUGUAAUCCUUUGUAUUUGACUUUGUGCAUUUAAGAUAAUAAGAGGCUUAUAGGUCUUAUGAGAUUACCAAAAGGGUUCAUAACACAAAAAAGGGUAGGAACCCCAGGUUGAACUAUUGAGGCAAUUGACUUACAAGCCAGAGCAUAGGAACAAAGGUAAGGAAGGAUUAAAAAGUGUUAGCAUCCUCAGCCAAUUUACUUCAUUGAUUUUAUUGAUAUUAGCCACUGCAAGUUAGCCAAUAUGGCGUUAACCAACCCAUUCCAUCCACUCUGUCCUCAUCACCAUCUCUUAGAAUCGUUUCCUUCAGGAAACUAAGCUCAAGCAUAAACUUCUAUAUGAAACGUUUCAUGAUCUCCAAUCCCACCCCUCCAACUCCAUGCCAACAUCUGGCACUUCCUCAUAAAACUUACUUUGGAUUAUUUUACAUAUGAAUAUAUAAGACAGUGUUCUCUUUCCUGAAUGACUCCAAGUUCCUUGAGGAUAGAAAUUGUUUUGGUUCUGUCUUUGUUUCCCCAGGACCUAGCCCAGUCCCUGACAGCAAUAGGUAUUUAAUACUUGUUGAUGGUUGGCUGAUGGGAAGCAGCUAGAGCAUAGUAUCUGAAAGCACACAGAGGUUUAUUUUUGUAGCUUGAUGGGUGGGCACCCUGAUCCUCUCCAGAUUUCUUUGGUUUGGUUACAAAAGGUGUGGGACGAGGGAUAUAAUUUGUACAGAAUUCUAAAAGCAGAUAAAUCAAAACUCAGAUUAUUGUGUCCUAUUUCUGAGUUGAUACUAAUUAUUUAGAAGAUGUUGGAAUUACCCAGCAAGAAGAAGCCCAACCUGAAAAGAGCACACCAGGACAAAUCACUUCCCAGGAUUUUUUUAAGGGUUGGUCUUGUCAUGGCUGGGCUCCAGUAGAGGUGGGACUGGCCUGAGCUGAGGGAAUCUGUUCCAGUUUUCAUCUAUCCCCCCUCUCUAAGCCCCCCCAACCCCUCCUUUUUUUAAAUAGUGGUGGGAUCUUGGACUACCACUGACACUGAGUUGGGUGCCAAUUUUCUUGCUGUGCCUUGUCAAAUUGGACAGGAAGACGGCUGUCUUGUGAAAGUGAAAUUGUCACUAAUUGGCCACAAAGGAAAUAUGCAAGUUUUGCCAAAAAAAGACCUUUGCCUUCUGAGGGAUUUAAAUCCUCAGCUGAAACUUUUCCUCUUAUUUAGAAGAGGAACUCAGGCAAGCAAGUUGACAAUUUCUACAAUGAUGAGACCUGGGUGGGUGUUCUGGGAGGGGGCCAGUUAUUAUGGCGGAGAGUAGAUCCUCAGGCCUCCCUUUAACCAGUGUGUUGUGUUCAGUUAUAAUAGGUCAGUGAAAAAGUAGCAGCAAAUAAAUCUUGACUUUGUUUUAGUUUUUCCAUUUACGAUAAGGUAGAAUGUUUCAGGUGCAUCCUACAUACCAAAUGAAUGCUUUAUAAAAUGUUUUGUCACUUGUAAUGUUUGGAACUCAAGUUUAUUUUCUUUCCUGUGACAAAAAUGAACUUAGUCAGACUUGGGCAUUGCUUUAUACUGAGAGUGACACCUCUUUAUUUUUGUGACUUGAAUGGACAUCAAAGAGAAUUUUCUGUUCCAUGAAAAAUAUAGUUAAAUCAGUAGCUCCAUUUGCCAAGUAGCAUCUAUGCCAAUGUAUUUUAAUAUAAGUAUCAUAAAUAAAUUUACAAAAUUAGAAAACAAGUCAGAUGCCA
Molecule: long non-coding RNA, 4006 nt
Organism: Monodelphis domestica (gray short-tailed opossum)
Lineage: Eukaryota; Metazoa; Chordata; Mammalia; Didelphimorphia; Didelphidae
Source: RefSeq, a predicted model, not a curated record